RNAcentral lists this ribosomal RNA (888 nucleotides) under uncultured bacterium. Its description in RNAcentral is "bacterial SSU rRNA". It matches the Rfam family "Bacterial small subunit ribosomal RNA", at positions 59 to 957 of the family's 1533-position model. The record is from RNAcentral.
AAGUUCGAACGAGCGAUACCCCCUUCGGGGGUAAAGCUAGUGGCGGACGGGUGAGUAACGCNUGGGCAACUUGUCCUUGACAGGGGAACAACCAUGAGAAAUCNUGGCUAAUACCUCAUAAGCUUACGGAGCCNCAUGGUUCAGUAAGAAAAGAUUUAUCGGUUAAGGAGAGGCCCGCGUCUGAUUAGCUAGUUGGUAAGGUAACGGCUUACCAAGGCAACGAUCAGUAGCCGACCUGAGAGGGUGAUCGGCCACAUUGGGACUGAGACACGGCCCAAACUCCUACGGGAGGCAGCAGUGGGGAAUAUUGCGCAAUGGGCGAAAGCCUGACGCAGCAACGCCGCGUGAAGGAAGAAGGUUUUCGGAUCGUAAACUUCAAUCUGCAGGGAAGAAAAAAAUGACGGUACCUGAAGAGAAGCCCCGGCUAACUACGUGCCAGCAGCCGCGGUAAUACGUAGGGGGCAAGCGUUAUCCGGAAUUACUGGGUGUAAAGGGUGAGUAGGCGGCAUCGUAAGUCAUAUGUGAAAUCCCGGGGCUUAACCCCGGGACUGCAUAAGAAACUACGGAGCUAGAGUACAGGAGAGGUAAGCGGAAUUCCUAGUGUAGCGGUGAAAUGCGUAGAUAUUAGGAAGAACACCAGUGGCGAAGGCNGCUUACUGGACUGAAACUGACGCUGAGUCACCGAAAGCGUGGGGAGCNAACAGGAUUAGAUACCCUGGUAGUCCACCGCCGUACACGAUGAGUGCUAGGUGUCGGGUAGAGAUACUCNGUGCCCGGAGCAAACCCNAUAAGCCNCUCCCCCUGGGGAGUACGGUCNCNAGAUUGAAACUCNAAGGAAUUGACNGGGGCCCCCCACCANCCGUGGANCCUGUGGUUUUAAUUCCAAGC